AUUUUGAAGGCCUGUGGUUAAUCCGGGUCCGUCCUUAGUGUAGCGACGACCCGCUAAAUCUCGGCGAGAAGACGCUCCACCUCCGCUUGCGCCGCCAUGGAUCCUCCUAGGCUUAUCCCUUCCCUCAGGCCUUCCACCCUUCUCAUCCGACGGCUCCAGGAGGGGCACCACAGUAGCAGGCACCGGCGGCGGCACGCCACACACACGCGCCCGAACCCAACUAGCCUCCGUCGGCCGCGGCAGCCAGGCCGUGCCUCUCCUUCCACCGGUCGCGAGAUCCGCCGAUAUCAACUCCGUCCUCCAGCACUGGGUGCCCAGGAUCAACAUGCCUCCUCCCUAUCAGAAGUCACAAAAAAAGAGAUCACGAUGAUGGUGGCAAUGGGUGCCUACUUCCUCCGAUGAUGUCCCAAUCACCUGGGUGGAUAAUCGCACAUUCAGUAUCAGUUCCAUUCUCUACAAGUAGGUCUGUGUCUCUUCCCCUUUUGUGCAUCCCCUGAUUUUUUAUUGAUUCGCCUACUUGAUCCGGUCUCGUGUCGGUGUAAGGGGAGAUGAGAGGAUGAGCACCAGAGGAUCACAGGAUUGGAGGACAGAGUCAAACUGGGAGAAAGCAGAGACUUGAAAUCUAUUCUUCCUCGAGGAACAACACCCCUUGCAGAACCUGGACCUUGAGGGGCUCCGGUCACGGCAACCUGUCAGUUUGCCGGCUGCAGUCCGGUUGAACCAGCGUCCAGGGCAUUCUACCGUCAAAAUAGCCUUUGCGCUGCUUUCGUACACCCACUCUAGCCAUGUCUUCCCCUAGACAUGUGAGGAGGAGCAAGCAGGAGGACAAGGAGCAGCACGCCUCUAUCAUCUACUUUUCACUUUACAAAAUCGAAAGUAGAAUACCGUGCAAAGUAAGAUCUAUCUUUUGAUGUUUCUAGUUUCCAGCAUUUCAGUGUUGAUUUUAUAUUGUGAAGUUACCAAUCCUUCUCCAUAUAUGUAGUUGUGGAGUUCUACAACCAGAAAUAUACAAGCUAUUAUGUAUUUGAUUCAUGCAUAAAUAUUCAGAGAUAGUUCACUACUUCAUUCAGGAGUUAGAUGUAUGAUAAUUACGUUUUAAUUUGGUGCCCGUCAUGCCACCUUUGGCUUUUAGGUGAAGCUGAACCAAAAGUACUUGAUUAGCAUGUUUCUUUCUAACUUUGUUCUUGUUUUUUUUGCCCUUUUCCUAUGCAUAACAAUUAUUUGUAAAUCUACAAAAAAAAUGUAGGGAGAAUCCUACAGGUUAGGUCCAAGGAAAAACCAUGUGUAUUAAUGUUCUUAUCAGUUAUCAUUAGUCCCCAACUUGCAUAUUCUACUGACAUUUAAAAUUCUUGCAUAACUGUGGAGCUUAGGGAUGUUAAUAUGUAGACUCUCUCUUUUUCUCCUUUCCUUUUUUCGAGGUCAGUUUGGAGGAUAAGUGAUUACAUCUCAAGGAUUGCAAGAACACUCACCCAGGAAGCUAUCUUAUUUUCACCUUUUAAUGUGGAGUUGUACUCACAUUAAAACUUCUUGCAAGAUCUGUGCUUUGUUCUGUCUCCGGAAAUGCAUUAACUGAUGCAACUUCCUAAUUGUUGGAAGAUCAAGAAAUACAUAUCUGAGGUGAUCUUAGCAAGCUCUUGAAAAGUAAAAGAAAAACAAACUUAUUCAUAUUCAAAUGUUUAACAGGAAUUUAAAGUUUGCAUUGUGGCUGAUUUGGUAUGUAGUUUUUCUAUGCAUCUCAAUGUGAACUGUUUAUGCCCUAAACCUCAACC
This 1769-nucleotide ribosomal RNA is filed under the name Triticum aestivum (bread wheat). Its description in RNAcentral is "partial small subunit ribosomal RNA". The record is from RNAcentral. Lineage: Eukaryota; Viridiplantae; Streptophyta; Magnoliopsida; Poales; Poaceae.